This 356-nucleotide ribosomal RNA is filed under the name uncultured bacterium. RNAcentral's name for it is "bacterial SSU rRNA". It matches the Rfam family "Bacterial small subunit ribosomal RNA", at positions 9 to 353 of the family's 1533-position model. The record is from RNAcentral.
GAGUUUGAUCCUGGCGUCAGGAUGAACGCUAGCGGCAGGCUUAACACAUGCAAGUCGAGGGGCAGCAUAAUGGAUAGCUAAUAUCUAUGGUGGCGACCGGCGCACGGGUGCGUAACGCGUAUGCAACCUACCUUUAACAGGGGGAUAACACUGAGAAAUUGGUACUAAUACCCCAUAAUAUCAUAGAAGGCAUCUUUUAUGGUUGAAAAUUCCGAUGGUUAGAGAUGGGCGAUGCGUUGUAUUAGCUAGUUGGUGGGGUAACGGGCUCACCAAGGCGACGAUACAUAGGGGGACUGAGAGGUUAACCCCCCACCACUGGUACUGAGACACGGACCAGACUCCUACGGGAGGCAGCA